Molecule: non-coding RNA, 30 nt
Filed under: Rattus norvegicus (Norway rat)
Lineage: Eukaryota; Metazoa; Chordata; Mammalia; Rodentia; Muridae
Source: RNAcentral
UNCAUGUACACUGUAAGACAGGACCUGACU